This 756-nucleotide ribosomal RNA is filed under the name uncultured bacterium. Its description in RNAcentral is "bacterial SSU rRNA". It matches the Rfam family "Bacterial small subunit ribosomal RNA", at positions 8 to 796 of the family's 1533-position model. The record is from RNAcentral.
AGAGUUUGAUCAUGGCUCAGAAUCAACGCUGGCGGCGUGCCUAACACAUGCAAGUCGAACGAGAAAGGGUAGCAAUACCUGAGUAAAGUGGCGCACGGGUGAGUAACACGUGACUAACCUACCCUGGAGUGGGGGAUAACUGAGGGAAACCUUAGCUAAUACCGCAUAACACCUACGGGUCAAAGGAGCAAUUCGCUUCAGGAGGGGGUCGCGGCCGAUUAGUUAGUUGGCGGGGUAAUGGCCCACCAAGACAGUGAUCGGUAUCCGGCCUGAGAGGGCGCACGGACACACUGGAACUGAAACACGGUCCAGACUCCUACGGGAGGCAGCAGUGGGGAAUUUUGCGCAAUGGGGGAAACCCUGACGCAGCAACGCCGCGUGGAGGAUGAAGUACUUCGGUACGUAAACUCCUUUCGAUCGGGACGAUUAUGACGGUACCGGAGGAAGAAGCCCCGGCUAACUUCGUGCCAGCAGCCGCGGUAAUACGAGGGGGGCAAGCGUUGUUCGGAAUUAUUGGGCGUAAAGGGUGCGUAGGCGGUUUUGUAAGUCUUGUGUGAAAUCUUCAGGCUCAACUUGAAGACUGCACGAGAAACUGCAGGGCUUGAGUGUGGGAGAGGUGAGUGGAAUUCCUGGUGUAGCGGUGAAAUGCGUAGAUAUCAGGAGGAACACCUGUGGCGAAAGCGGCUCACUGGACCACAACUGACGCUGAUGCACGAAAGCUAGGGGAGCAAACAGGAUUAGAUACCCUAGUAGUCC